GGGAUGAGCUUGCGUCCGAUUAGCUAGUUGGCGGGCAACGGCCCACCAAGGCGACGAUCGGUAGCCGGCCUGAGAGGGCGAUCGGCCACAUUGGGACUGAGAUACGGCCCAGACUCUACGGGAGGCAGCAGUAGGGAAUAUUGCACAAUGGGGGGAACCCUGAUGCAGCAACGCCACGUGUGGGAAGAAGCAUUUCGGUGUGUAAACCACUGUCGUGAGGGAAUAAUGCUUGGCUCCGGCCAAGUUGAAUGUACCUCGAAAGGAAGCACCGGCAAACUUCGUGCCAGCAGCCGCGGUAAUACGAGGGGUGCAAGCGUUGUUCGGAAUCACUGGGCGUAAAGGGAGCGUAGGCGGAGACGCAAGCAGUCUGUACAAUACCGGGGCCCAACCCCGGACCUGCAGACUGGACUGUGUCUCUUGGAUAGUUCAGGGGCAGGCGGAAUUCCUGGUGUAGCGGUGGAAUGCGUAGAGAUCAGGAAGAACACCGAUGGCGAAGGCAGCCUGCUGGGGACUCAUCGACGCUGAGGCUCGAAAGUGCGGGUAGCAAACAGGAUUAGAUACCCUGGUAGUCC
This 572-nucleotide ribosomal RNA is filed under the name uncultured bacterium. RNAcentral describes it as "bacterial SSU rRNA". It matches the Rfam family "Bacterial small subunit ribosomal RNA", at positions 222 to 796 of the family's 1533-position model. The record is from RNAcentral.